UACGUAGGGAGCGAGCGUUGUCCGGAUUUACUGGGUGUAAAGGGUGCGUAGGCGGCCGUGCAAGUCAGAAGUGAAAUCCAUGGGCUUAACCCGUGAACUGCUUUUGAAACUGCAGGGCUUGAGUGAAGUAGAGGCAGGCGGAAUUCCCGGUGUAGCGGUGAAAUGCGUAGAGAUCGGGAGGAACACCAGUGGCGAAGGCGGCCUGCUGGGCUUUAACUGACGCUGAAGCACGAAAGCGUGGGUAGCAA
RNAcentral lists this ribosomal RNA (248 nucleotides) under uncultured Ruminiclostridium sp. Its description in RNAcentral is "partial 16S ribosomal RNA". It matches the Rfam family "Bacterial small subunit ribosomal RNA", at positions 524 to 771 of the family's 1533-position model. The record is from RNAcentral. Lineage: Bacteria; Bacillati; Bacillota; Clostridia; Eubacteriales; Oscillospiraceae.